RNAcentral lists this ribosomal RNA (414 nucleotides) under uncultured bacterium. RNAcentral's name for it is "bacterial SSU rRNA". It matches the Rfam family "Bacterial small subunit ribosomal RNA", at positions 356 to 773 of the family's 1533-position model. The record is from RNAcentral.
GGGGAAUAUUGGACAAUGGGCGGAAGCCUGAUCCAGCAACGCCGCGUGAGGGAUGACGGCCUUCGGGUUGUAAACCUCUUUCAGUACCGACGAAGCGCCGAUGAUGGUGGUGACGGUAGGUACAGAAGAAGCACCGGCCAACUACGUGCCAGCAGCCGCGGUAAUACGUAGGGUGCGAGCGUUGUCCGGAAUUAUUGGGCGUAAAGGGCUCGUAGGCGGUUUGUCGCGUCGGGAGUGAAAACACUGGGCUUAACUCAGUGCUGGCUUUCGAUACGGGCAGACUAGAGGUAUGCAGGGGAGAACGGAAUUCCUGGUGUAGCGGUGAAAUGCGCAGAUAUCAGGAGGAACACCGGUGGCGAAGGCGGUUCUCUGGGCAUUACCUGACGCUGAGGAGCGAAAGUGUGGGGAGCGAAC